CCAGCCCGCUCAGAAACUUAAAGGAAUUGACGGGGGCCCGCACAAGCGGUGGAGCAUGUGGUUUAAUUCGAUGAUACGCGAGGAACCUUACCUGGGCUCAAAUGUAUGUUGACGUAUUCUGAAAGGGAUACUUCUUCGGACAAUAUACAAGGUGCUGCAUGGUUGUCGUCAGCUCGUGCCGUGAGGUGUCGGGUUAAGUCCCAUAACGAGCGCAACCCCUAUCAUUAGUUGCCAUCAGGUCAAGCUGGGGACUCUAAUGAAACUGCCUACGCAAGUAGUGAGGAAGGUGGGGAUGACGUCAAAUCAGCACGGCCCUUACGUCCAGGGCGACACACGUGCUACAAUGGCCGGCACAACGGGAAGCGAGUUCGCGAGGACGAGCGGAUCCCUUAAAGCCGGUCGCAGUUCGGAUUGAAGUCUGCAACUCGACUUCAUGAAGCUGGAAUCGCUAGUAAUCGCAGAUCAGCCAAGCUGCGGUGAAUACGUUCCCAGGCCUU
This 497-nucleotide ribosomal RNA is filed under the name uncultured Bacteroidota bacterium. RNAcentral's name for it is "bacterial SSU rRNA". It matches the Rfam family "Bacterial small subunit ribosomal RNA", at positions 903 to 1382 of the family's 1533-position model. The record is from RNAcentral. Lineage: Bacteria; Pseudomonadati; Bacteroidota.